CCUACGGGUGGCAGCAGUGGGGAAUAUUGCACAAUGGGGGAAACCCUGAUGCAGCGACGCCGCGUGAGUGAAGAAGUAUUUCGGUACGUAAAGCUCUAUCAGCAGGGAAGAAAAAAAGGCCUGUGGACUGUGGACGGGACCGGACCAAGAAGCCCCGGCUAACUACGUGCCAGCAGCCGCGGGAAUACGUAGGGGGCAAGCGUGAUCCGGAUUUACUGGGGGGACAGGGAGCGUAGACGGCAGCGCAAGGCGGGAGUGAAAUGCCGGGGCCCAACCCCGGAACGGCUUUGGAAACUGUGCAGCUGGAGUGCAGGAGUGGUAAGCGGCCUUCCUCGUGUAGCG
This 342-nucleotide ribosomal RNA is filed under the name uncultured bacterium. RNAcentral's name for it is "partial 16S ribosomal RNA". It matches the Rfam family "Bacterial small subunit ribosomal RNA", at positions 338 to 680 of the family's 1533-position model. The record is from RNAcentral.